RNAcentral lists this ribosomal RNA (399 nucleotides) under uncultured bacterium. Its description in RNAcentral is "bacterial SSU rRNA". It matches the Rfam family "Bacterial small subunit ribosomal RNA", at positions 140 to 518 of the family's 1533-position model. The record is from RNAcentral.
GGGAUAACGUUCCGAAAGGGACGCUAAUACCGGAUGUGAAUGUUAAAACGCUGGUUUUAACAAGAAAGGUGGGGACCGCAAGGCCUGCCGCUAACGGAACGGCCCGCGACCUAUUAGCUAGUUGGUGGGUAAAGGCCUACCAAGGCGAGGAUGGGUAGCCGAACUGAGAGGUUGACCGGCCACACUGGGACUGAGACACUGCCCAGACUUCUACGGAAGGCUGCAGUCGAGAAUCAUUCACAAUGGACGAAAGUCUGAUGAUGCGACGCCGCGUGCGCGAAUGAAGGUCUCCGGAUUGUAAAGCGCUUUGAACAGGGAAGAAUGCCGCGUAUUUAAUAGAUAACGCGGAGGGACAGUACCUGACAAACAAGCCCCGGCUAAUUUCGUGCCAGCCGCCGC